CCUAUAUCAGCUCAGUCCACACACAGUCCCUAAUCAGCCCAGCUCACACACAGUCAUAGAUCAACCCAACUCACACACAGUCAUAGAUCAACCCAGCUCACAUACAGUCCUAUCUAAACUCAGCUCACACAGUCAUAGAUCAACCCAGCUCACAGCCUCACACACAGUCCUAGAUCAGCUCAGUCCACACACAGUCCCUAAUCACCCCAACUCACACACAGUCAUGGAUCAAACAGCUCACACUCAGUCCUAUUCCAGCUCAUACACAGUCCUAGAUCAGCCAUCUUGCAAACAGCCCUAGCUCACACAGACUCCUAGAUUUAAUAAACUCUUCACUUCACUCUUCACUGGUGUAAUUAUUAAGUCUUAAAUAUGCCUUUUAUCUGUUUAGGUUUGACUGUGUGAUCAUUCUCAGUGAUCUAAACAUGGCAUAUCUGUACUGGGACAGUGAAACAUAAAUAUGUCAGACCAUAUCUGUAUAAUAUCAUAUACUGGAUUAAAAAGCAAGUGGUCCAUUUAAUGAAGGAAACAGCAAAAUUCAGGAUCAACAUGUCGGUAAAAAAAUUAUUCUAAAUGCAGACUUUUGUUUGUUUGCUUGUUUUUAAAACUGUCUCUGUUUUCUUUCACUUGCUGUUCAGUAAGUACACCGUGAUGGUUUAAUUCAUUUAAUUUAAUUCAUUAUAUGCCAAGCUAUUUGGGCCAUAAUAGCCAAAUUAAAAAACAAAACAAAAAACCCUCCAGAUUUCAGUUUUCAUAUCAGGAAUAAAUCACCAUUGAAAUAUAGACAGACUUACAAUAAUGUGGCAGUUUGUUACAUAGAUACUGGAUGUUUAAUAUUGUUACAUAUUGACAUUGUAUAUAAUGUAUUCGGGGCUUAUUAAACAGACACAGUCAGUGAACUAUCGUGUUUUGUAUUUUAUUUGAAAAUGGUCAAUAUUCGCC
Pelobates cultripes (western spadefoot toad) is the source of this 942-nucleotide non-coding RNA. The record is from the annotation of a GenBank genome assembly. Lineage: Eukaryota; Metazoa; Chordata; Amphibia; Anura; Pelobatidae.